RNAcentral lists this long non-coding RNA (237 nucleotides) under Gossypium barbadense (sea-island cotton). RNAcentral describes it as "long non-coding RNA (GBAR_LNC014743)". Lineage: Eukaryota; Viridiplantae; Streptophyta; Magnoliopsida; Malvales; Malvaceae. The record is from RNAcentral.
CUUGCUUCCCCGACAUUGCAGUUACAAAGAUUAAAGCUACAACAGCAAAUCUUACUCUCCAGGCGAUGCAGUGGAACAUAUUAAAGCCACAUCGAUGAAUCUUCCUUCUCUGACAUUGCAGUUAAAAAGAUUAAAGCUACAACAGCGAAUCUUACUCCCCAAGCUAUGCAGUGGAACAGAUUAAGCCACAUCGGUGAAUCUUGCUUCCCCAACAUUGUAGUUAAAAAGCUACCACAG